CCUGCUUCAGGAGGAGCAGAACUAACAUCCCCAGGUUUCAUAUGGAUUUGUCUUCCCUCCUCCAUACAUUGUCUGCUCAUCUUGGAAUCAUCCAAAUGCUGGCCAGAGGGUGAGGAGACUUUGAACUUGGCUAUAUCAGCAUGUAAUUCUUUACAGUGGGACAGCGUCAGCAGACUGAAGCUGAAGAACUUUCUUCUAUGUUCUGCAUUUACCCUCAGAUUGUUCUCAUCCCACAUCUUUCUCCUUAUCAGUGGAGUCCAAGACUGUGCCUGACUAACCUCCUAUGAUGGAGUGAUGGAAGACAAAGUAGUAGACAAAGGAAGAACUACCUGGACUUCUUUGACGCCUUUGGUAUGGUCCUGCACUACAUUCUUUUCUCCAAACUGGACAGAUUUGAAGGAUGAAAUGUUGAGUGGAUAAGGAAUUGGUUGGAAAGUCGCAGCCAGCGGGUUACAGUCAGUGGCUCAAUGUGCAGGAGGAGGCCAGUGAUGAGUGGUGUCCCUCAGGGAUCUGGUGCUCUUUAACACCUUUACUAAUGACCUUGAUAGAGGGAUUGAAUACACC
This 564-nucleotide long non-coding RNA is filed under the name Phasianus colchicus (ring-necked pheasant). Its description in RNAcentral is "lncRNA (ENSPCLG00000003095.1)". The record is from RNAcentral. Lineage: Eukaryota; Metazoa; Chordata; Aves; Galliformes; Phasianidae.